RNAcentral lists this ribosomal RNA (552 nucleotides) under uncultured bacterium. Its description in RNAcentral is "bacterial SSU rRNA". It matches the Rfam family "Bacterial small subunit ribosomal RNA", at positions 355 to 897 of the family's 1533-position model. The record is from RNAcentral.
UAGGGAAUCUUCGGCAAUNGNNGGAAGUCUGACCGAGCAACGCCGCGUGAGUGAAGAAGGUUUUCGGAUCGUAAAGCUCUGUUGUAAGAGAAGAACGAGUGUGAGAGUGGAAAGUUCACACUGUGACGGUAUCUUACCAGAAAGGGACGGCUAACUACGUGCCAGCAGCCGCGGUAAUACGUAGGUCCCGAGCGUUGUCCGGAUUUAUUGGGCGUAAAGCGAGCGCAGGCGGUUAGAUAAGUCUGAAGUUAAAGGCUGUGGCUUAACCAUAAUACGCUUUGGAAACUGUUUAACUUGAGUGCAAGAGGGGAGAGUGGAAUUCCAUGUGUAGCGGUGAAAUGCGUAGAUAUAUGGAGGAACACCGGUGGCGAAAGCGGCUCUCUGGCUUGUAACUGACGCUGAGGCUCGAAAGCGUGGGGAGCAAACAGGAUUAGAUACCCUGGUAGUCCACGCCGUAAACGAUGAGUGCUAGGUGUUAGACCCUUUCCGGGGUUUAGUGCCGCAGCUAACGCAUUAAGCACUCCCGCCUGGGGAGUACGACCGCAAGGUUGA